This 161-nucleotide non-coding RNA is filed under the name bovine gut metagenome. RNAcentral's name for it is "Lysine riboswitch". It matches the Rfam family "Lysine riboswitch aptamer". Rfam says of the family: Riboswitches are metabolite binding domains within certain messenger RNAs that serve as precision sensors for their corresponding targets. The record is from RNAcentral.
UGUGAUAGAGGUCGCGGCUGACAAGAGUACGCGGAAAGCCCUGAAGGGCGCCGCGGAAAGGGGAUGCCGCCGAAGGGCUGCGAAGGUCUUAGGACCGGGCAGCGCCUGGGACGCAGGAGAACAUCCUGCGGACUGUCGCGCCAAGGCGCGGAGAGCUGUCA